GGGCCCGUAGCUCAGUUUGGUUAGAGCAGCGGACUCAUAAUCCGUCGGUCGUAGGUUCAAGUCCUACCGGGCCCA
This 75-nucleotide transfer RNA is filed under the name Acidimicrobiia bacterium. Its description in RNAcentral is "tRNA-Ile". It matches the Rfam family "tRNA". Rfam says of the family: Transfer RNA (tRNA) molecules are approximately 80 nucleotides in length. Their secondary structure includes four short double-helical elements and three loops (D, anti-codon, and T loops). RNAcentral also lists the same sequence under 1 other name. The record is from RNAcentral. Lineage: Bacteria; Bacillati; Actinomycetota; Acidimicrobiia.